AAUAUACGCUCGUGGUACACUCCCAACCCAAUGUGAACGUUACCAAACUGUUGCCUCGGCGGGAUCUCUGCCCCGGGUGCGUCGCAGCCCCGGACCAAGGCGCCCGCCGGAGGACCAACCAAAACUCUUUUUGUAUACCCCCUCGCGGGUUUUUUAUAAUCUGAGCCUUCUCGGCGCCUCUCGUAGGCGUUUCGAAAAUGAAUCAAAACUUUCAACAACGGAUCUCUUGGUUCUGGCAUCGAUGAAGAACGCAGCGAAAUGCGAUAAGUAAUGUGAAUUGCAGAAUUCAGUGAAUCAUCGAAUCUUUGAACGCACAUUGCGCCCGCCAGUAUUCUGGCGGGCAUGCCUGUCCGAGCGUCAUUUCAACCCUCGAACCCCUCCGGGGGGUCGGCGUUGGGGAUCGGCCCUGCCUCUUGGCGGUGGCCGUCUCCGAAAUACAGUGGCGGUCUCGCCGCAGCCUCUCCUGCGCAGUAGUUUGCACACUCGCAUCGGGAGCGCGGCGCGUCCACAGCCGUUAAACACCCAACUUCUGAAAUGUUGACCUCGGAUCAGGUAGGAAUACCCGCUGAACUUAAGCAUAUCAAUAAGGCGGAGGAAU
This 598-nucleotide ribosomal RNA is filed under the name Trichoderma harzianum. RNAcentral's name for it is "eukaryotic LSU rRNA". The stretch from base 207 to 360 matches the Rfam family "5.8S ribosomal RNA". Lineage: Eukaryota; Fungi; Ascomycota; Sordariomycetes; Hypocreales; Hypocreaceae. The record is from RNAcentral.